GAUGAACGCUGGCGGCGUGCCUAAUACAUGCAAGUCGAGCGAACGGACGAGAAGCUUGCUUCUCUGAUGUUAGCGGCGGACGGGUGAGUAACACGUGGAUAACCUACCUAUAAGACUGGGAUAACUUCGGGAAACCGGAGCUAAUACCGGAUGAUAUUUUGAACCGCAUGGUUCAAAAGUGAAAGACGGUCUUGCUGUCACUUGUAGAUGGAUCCGCGCUGCAUUAGCUAGUUGGUAAGGUAACGGCUUACCAAGGCAACGAUGCAUAGCCGACCUGAGAGGGUGAUCGGCCACACUGGAACUGAGACACGGUCCAGACUCCUACGGGAGGCAGCAGUAGGGAAUCUUCCGCAAUGGGCGAAAGCCUGACGGAGCAACGCCGCGUGAGUGAUGAAGGUCUUCGGAUCGUAAAACUCUGUUAUUAGGGAAGAACAUAUGUGUAAGUAACUGUGCACAUCUUGACGGUACCUAAUCAGAAAGCCACGGCUAACUACGUG
Molecule: ribosomal RNA, 497 nt
Filed under: uncultured bacterium
Lineage: Bacteria
Description: partial 16S ribosomal RNA
Rfam family: Bacterial small subunit ribosomal RNA
Source: RNAcentral